RNAcentral lists this ribosomal RNA (233 nucleotides) under uncultured bacterium. RNAcentral describes it as "partial 16S ribosomal RNA". It matches the Rfam family "Bacterial small subunit ribosomal RNA", at positions 338 to 569 of the family's 1533-position model. The record is from RNAcentral.
CCUACGGGACGCAGCAGUGAGGAAUAUUGGUCAAUGGGAGAGAUCCUGAACCAGCCAAGCCGCGUGAGGGAAGACGGCCCUAUGGGUUGUAAACCUCUUUUGUCAGAGAACAAAACCCGGGACGUGACCCGGACUGCGUGUAUCCGAAGAAAAAGCAUCGGCUAACUCCGUGCCAGCAGCCGCGGUAAUACGGAGGAUGCGAGCGUUAUCCGGAUUAUUUGGGUUUAAGGGUG